RNAcentral lists this ribosomal RNA (312 nucleotides) under uncultured Pseudomonas sp. Its description in RNAcentral is "bacterial SSU rRNA". It matches the Rfam family "Bacterial small subunit ribosomal RNA", at positions 1072 to 1382 of the family's 1533-position model. The record is from RNAcentral. Lineage: Bacteria; Pseudomonadati; Pseudomonadota; Gammaproteobacteria; Pseudomonadales; Pseudomonadaceae.
AUGUUGGGUUAAGUCCCGUAACGAGCGCAACCCUUGUCCUUAGUUACCAGCACGUUAUGGUGGGCACUCUAAGGAGACUGCCGGUGACAAACCGGAGGAAGGUGGGGAUGACGUCAAGUCAUCAUGGCCCUUACGGCCUGGGCUACACACGUGCUACAAUGGUCGGUACAAAGGGUUGCCAAGACCGCGAGGUGGAGCUAAUCCCAUAAAACCGAUCGUAGUCCGGAUCGCAGUCUGCAACUCGACUGCGUGAAGUCGGAAUCGCUAGUAAUCGUGAAUCAGAAUGUCACGGUGAAUACGUUCCCGGGCCUU